Molecule: ribosomal RNA, 498 nt
Filed under: uncultured bacterium
Lineage: Bacteria
Description: partial 16S ribosomal RNA
Rfam family: Bacterial small subunit ribosomal RNA
Source: RNAcentral
AUUGAACGCUGGCGGCAUGCCUAACACAUGCAAGUCGCACGCGAAAGAGGGGCAACCCUUGAGUAGAGUGGCGGACGGGUGAGUAACGCGUAGGAAUAUACCUGGUAGUGGGGGACAACCCGGUGAAAACCGGGCUAAUACCGCAUACGAUCCACGGAUGAAAGCAGGGGACCGCAAGGCCUUGCGCUAUCAGAUUAGCCUGCGUCGGAUUAGCUAGUUGGUGAGGUAAUGGCUCACCAAGGCAACGAUCCGUAGCUGGUUUGAGAGAACGACCAGCCACGCUGGGACUGAGGCACGGCCCAGACUCCUACGGGAGGCAGCAGUGGGGAAUAUUGGACAAUGGGGGCAACCCUGAUCCAGCAAUGCCGCGUGUGUGAAGAAGGCCUUCGGGUUGUAAAGCACUUUCGGUGGGGACAAACGUGGCGAGGCUAACAUCCUCGUCCUUGAUGGUACCCAAAGAAGAAGCACCGGCUAACUCUGUGCCAGCAGCCGCGGUAA